UACGGAGGGCGCAAGCGUUGCUCGGAAUUACUGGGCGUAAAGCGCGUGCAGGCGGUCGAGUAAGUCGGUUGUGAAAUCCCCAGGCUCAACCUGGGAACCGUAUCCGAAACUGCUCGGCUAGAGUCCCGGAGAGGGAGGCGGAACUCCCAGUGUAGGGGUGAAAUCCGUAGAUAUUGGGAAGAACACCGGCGGCGAAAGCGGCCUCCUGGACGGUGACUGACGCUGAGACGCGAAAGCGUGGGGAGCAAACAGG
Molecule: ribosomal RNA, 253 nt
Filed under: uncultured bacterium
Lineage: Bacteria
Description: partial 16S ribosomal RNA
Rfam family: Bacterial small subunit ribosomal RNA
Source: RNAcentral